AUGCAGCCCCUGAUGACUUUAUUAAGUGUUCUAAGUUCUGAUUCUUUCGUUUUCUGAAAAAUUACAAGAACUUUAAAAAGUCAAUGUCUUUAUUUCCCUAAAAAUGGUAUUCAGAGAAGAGAAUAAUUUUGGUGGGAAAAAAUCUUACAUUUCAUGGUGUACUUUAAUGAGUUGUUGAGCUUGGACCUAGUAGAAUUUAUAAUAUAUAAAUUUAUAAUACAGAGACUGCAUAUAGCAUAUAUUCUUUAUAAUACAGAUAUAUCUUUCAUAUAUCCAACCUAAAAUGUAUUAGUGUCUCUGACAACUGGCAUUGUUAACUACUUACUCUCUCUACAGUGGAUUUUCUUCAUUAAUUUUUAUUUGUGCUACUUCUUAGAUGUCUCAUUAAUCUUUAGUUAUUUUUUUCUUUUCCUUUAGUGACUUUCUGUUUCUUUUCUCUGUCCAUAACAGGUUGUCCCGAUUUUUCUGCAUUUUGUUUCUAUAUCUGUCUCCUUAAAUAACAUAUUAUUCUGUGUGUUUAAACUUAGUUUUUUGAGAAAGCAUGAAGAAAUGAAGAAAACAAGGAAUUUACAUCUAAAAAGACUUUUUUUUUUUUUAAUUCUGAUAUUUUAACACAUGAUAUGGUUUGGCUGUGUCUACACUCAAGUCUGUUAUUGAAUUGUAGCUCCCAUAAUUCCCUCGUGUUGUGGGAGGGACCUAGUGGGAGAUAAUUGAAUCAUGGGGGUGGAUUUCCCUUACUGUUCCCAUGGUAGUGAAUAAGUCUCACAAUAUCUGAUGGUUUUAUAAGAUGAAACCCCUUUAGUUUGGCUCUCUGAUUCUCUCUUGCCUGCUACCACGUGAGAUGUACCUUCCACUUUCUGCCGUGAUUGUGGGGCCUCCCAGCCAUGUAGAAAUGGACAUGGAUGAAUCUGGAGAACGUCAUCCUCAGCAAACUGACACAAGAACAGAAAAUGAAACACCGCAUAUUCUCACUCAUAGAUGUUUCCUAGGCUAUCCACACUGACUGGAGAUCCAUGCUCUUGUGAACAGGAGAUGACCAUGUGGAUAUGAACAAGCUCGACAGUAAGCUGGGGACCAAGGGUGAAGCACCUCUGAAUUCUACACUAGAAUUCACCCAAUGAAAGGCUGCAGAGUGCAAAUUGUCUGUCUCACUACGCAAGACUGCUUGUCAAUAACCACACGAUGGGGCAGAAUAGAGCGAAGACAGCCCUUGACUGACCAAACUUCUAAAUUUCCUCUAAAAACAUCCUUUGGAAGUAGGUCUAUCAUCCUUUAAUAGAAUAAACUCCAGGAUUGUUGGACAAAGGGGGCUAUUUGGAAGAGCCACGCAGAGCACAGAGAAGUGGAAUAAUUCAGCUCUGAAAAUAAAGGUGAUUCAUGCUAAGGUAAUAAAUUGGAAAAAAUAAAAUAGAUGCAACUCAGUCCACAUAGCUGAAAAAGCUGGUUACAUUACAAAGACGUAAUUGAGAAUAUGUUUAUGCAUUAUAUAUAUGUGAUAUGCAUAAUAAAGCAUUUUGUAACUUCCAAAGCAUCUUAACAAUAUUGUUAUGGUUAAUUUUUAUGAGAGAAAACUCUAUACUUAUUGCUGUCUGCAAGGAUAUAUAACACAAUCCAAAAUUCAAAUGAACUCAUUGAACAAUAUUAAGAUUCAUUUUAAGAAAUAGUUGCCUUAUAUAUCUUUCUAAUGAAAUUUUGCAUCCUGUAGAAUUAGAAACAUAUGUUCAAGAACCACAAUGUUGAAGUAAAGUGGUUUGAAAUUAUUAUCUCUUCAUGUUAACACCCAAAUCAACAGUAAACUCCCUUCCCUCUACAAUGCAGCAUUUCACUUGAUAAUUAGCAGCUGUAUGCUAAUUACACUGGGAGCUCUUGAUUUCCUGAGUAUGCUAAUUUAAAGUUCUGUUGAGUGGUGACUUUUGUUUCAUGGAAGCCUAAAAUAUAAGCCAUAUAGAAUACACUAUACAGUUAUCCUGCUCUCAGUUCCUGGGGAAGAGCCAAUUGAGUGCUUCUAUUAAUGGUACCUCUCACUAAAGAGGAAAAUUGUUAGAAGUCAGAGUCACUUUAGCAGUGAUUGAAAGAUGAGAAAUUGAACUCAUAAGAUUGGGAUCCCCACAAUGAGCCAUGAGCAACACAAAAGCAAAAGGAAAGAUGAGAGCCGAUCAGCAGUCAUGAGAAUCAAAUUAACAUUUGGCUCCGCUAUUCUAAAAGUUAAAUGUACGAACUGAGCAUCAUUUAACUCAGGUAAACAUGAUGAGAGUUAGAUGUCGACAGACUUCCUAAUCGAAAAAGAAAAACGUUGGAGAGUCUGUUGAAACAGGUAGGAGAUGGCUACGGAAGAGCUGAUGUCAAGAGUGCAAGCGGAGUUGAUGGCAAUGUCCUUCUUAUUGGGUCUUCUACAACGUUAGUAUAUUUGAGUUUCUCUACCAUUCUCACCUGACCUUUCCUCUGUGAAGGUUACACAUUCUGCUUAAACAAAAGUGAGGGGUGCCAGCUUGGAAUAAUAUUCAUUGGCUGAUUUUUCCAUUGAAAGUUCCAGUAGUGGAAUACAACAUUGAAACUGAAAAAAGGCUGCAGGAAAUGACAUGGAAGUGCAUCUGUCAAUACCAAAACAAAGCUUGUGGAGAAACUAAAAGAAAUAAUUAUUUUGUUUUUCCCCUCAUAUCUUCUUCCUUUAUAUUUUUCUUCUUUCUGCUAUAAUGUCUAUAAUGUCUACAUAGACUAUACAUUUUAAUGAUAACUAAUAUUUCUGACACGUGUGUUCUAAUUUAGCAUUGUUCUAGGAUACACAUGUAUGUAAGUAUGCACACAUAUAGAUGCUUAAGAAAAAUACUAUUUUUGCUUUUCAUUUUAGAAAAGAAAACAUAAAAUCAUAAAAACAAGUUAAAUAAUUUUUAUGAGAUCAACGAGCAGGUAUGUGGUAUGACUCAGUUUUGGGCACAAGCACUCUCACUCUAAGAUCUGUGUACUUAGACACUAUUAUAUUGAUCACACAUACACAGAUAUACACACUCACCACUAGGGCUGAUUGACACUUUGUAGCCAAGUUCAUUGUCUUUUUUUGAGACACAGAAGUACUUAAAGAAAAGAAAGGAAAGGAUCUGCUGAGAAGGUGCUCUAGGAUGGUAAAAAUUCCAUUUUCCUUUAUAUCUACAGCUCCUUACCUGUGUAUGUAAGAAUUAAAAUCCAAAUCAGAACAUGUGUCAUGUGAAAUAAAGAAACUUUUAAUGAAUUCAUGAAAGACUUGCCAAUUUAACAUCAAAAGGCAUGUUUCAUUGCUUGGCAAGAGUGCUGCAUCCAAUUUCUAAAACAUGAUUUAAAUCAGGCUUGGUAAAAAUUACAUCUACAGUUCUACGCCUCACCACACACAAGUUAUGAAAGCUAAGGGAAUACUUUAUAAUAUCUUAAAAGAGCAACUUUUGUCUUCUGCUAUGUAUCAUAUAAAGUGAAAAAAUAAAUAAACAAAAACAAAUUCAUAGGGUUUUGUUUCCUUCAUUUAAUAUUGUAUAGUUCCUGAACCUAAUUCCCAGAGGUUGACAGUUUUGAUUUGACUUACAUGGACUUAAAUAAAGAGAUUAAAAAAUUGGGAUAUAGUACUGCAGGAAAAUAAAGGGAUUCGUUACUCAGGCUGGAGUGCAAUGGCGCGAUCUCGGCUCACGGCAACCUCCGCCUCCUG
RNAcentral lists this long non-coding RNA (3670 nucleotides) under Callithrix jacchus (white-tufted-ear marmoset). RNAcentral's name for it is "lncRNA (ENSCJAG00000082619.1)". Lineage: Eukaryota; Metazoa; Chordata; Mammalia; Primates; Cebidae. The record is from RNAcentral.